This 406-nucleotide ribosomal RNA is filed under the name uncultured bacterium. RNAcentral's name for it is "partial 16S ribosomal RNA". It matches the Rfam family "Bacterial small subunit ribosomal RNA", at positions 30 to 526 of the family's 1533-position model. The record is from RNAcentral.
AUUGAACGCUGGCGGCAGGCUUAACACAUGCAAGUCGAGCGAGCGGCGGACGGGUGAGUAAUGUCUGGGAAACUGCCUGAUGGAGAGGGAUAACUACUGGCAACGGUAGCUAAUACCGCAUACAAUCAGAUGUCCCCAGAUUGGCUGUGCUCGUCGGUGGGGUAAUGGAUCACCUGGGCGACGACCCCUCGCUGGUCUGAGAGGAUGACCAGCCACACUGGAACUGAGACACGGGCCAGACUCAUACGGUAUGCAGCAGUGGGGAAUAUUGAACAAUGGGCGCAAGCCUGAUGCAGACAUGCCGCGUGUGUGAAGAAGGCCUGCGGGUUGUAAAGCACUUUCAGCGAGGAGGCGGUACUCGCAGAAGAAGCACAGGCUAACUCCGUGCCAGCAGCCGCGGUAAUAC